UACGUAGGGGGCAAGCGUUGUCCGGAAUUAUUGGGCGUAAAGAGCGUGUAGGCGGUCCGGUAAGUCAGCUGUGAAAGUCAAGGGCUCAACCCUUGAAAGCCGGUUGAUACUGUCGGGCUAGAGUCCGGAAGAGGCGAGUGGAAUUCCCGGUGUAGCGGUGAAAUGCGUAGAGAUCGGGAGGAACACCAGUGGCGAAGGCGGCACUCUGGGCCAGUACUGACACUGAGGAGCGAAAGCGUGGGGAGCGAACAGG
RNAcentral lists this ribosomal RNA (253 nucleotides) under uncultured bacterium. Its description in RNAcentral is "partial 16S ribosomal RNA". It matches the Rfam family "Bacterial small subunit ribosomal RNA", at positions 524 to 776 of the family's 1533-position model. The record is from RNAcentral.